This 363-nucleotide ribosomal RNA is filed under the name uncultured bacterium. RNAcentral's name for it is "partial 16S ribosomal RNA". It matches the Rfam family "Bacterial small subunit ribosomal RNA", at positions 355 to 710 of the family's 1533-position model. The record is from RNAcentral.
UGGGGAAUUUUGGACAAUGGGCGAAAGCCUGAUCCAGCCAUGCCGCGUGCAGGAUGAAGGCCUUCGGGUUGUAAACUGCUUUUGUACGGAACGAAAAGCCUCUUUCUAAUAAAGAGGGGUCAUGACGGUACCGUAAGAAUAAGCACCGGCUAACUACGUGCCAGCAGCCGCGGUAAUACGUAGGGUGCAAGCGUUAAUCGGAAUUACUGGGCGUAAAGCGUGCGCAGGCGGUUUUGUAAGACAGAGGUGAAAUCCCCGGGCUCAACCUGGGAACUGCCUUUGUGACUGCAAGGCUGGAGUGCGGCAGAGGGGGAUGGAAUUCCGCGUGUAGCAGUGAAAUGCGUAGAUAUGCGGAGGAACACC